RNAcentral lists this ribosomal RNA (253 nucleotides) under uncultured bacterium. RNAcentral's name for it is "partial 16S ribosomal RNA". It matches the Rfam family "Bacterial small subunit ribosomal RNA", at positions 524 to 776 of the family's 1533-position model. The record is from RNAcentral.
UACAGAGGGUGCGAGCGUUGUCCGGAAUCACUGGGCGUAAAGGGCGCGUAGGCGGUUUCUUAAGCGUGUGGUGAAAGCCCGGAGCUCAACUCCGGGUCGGCCGUGCGAACUGGGAGACUGGAGCUUGUCAGAGGCAGGCGGAAUUCCGGGUGUAGCGGUGGAAUGCGUAGAGAUCCGGAAGAACACCGGUGGCGAAAGCGGCUUCCUGGUCCAGCACCGACGUUCAGGCACGAAAGCGUGGGGAGCAAACAGG